Molecule: ribosomal RNA, 253 nt
Filed under: uncultured bacterium
Lineage: Bacteria
Description: partial 16S ribosomal RNA
Rfam family: Bacterial small subunit ribosomal RNA
Source: RNAcentral
UACGUAGGUGGCAAGCGUUGUCCGGAGUUAUUGGGCGUAAAGCGCGCGUAGGCGGUGCGGUAAGUCUCUGGUGAAAGCGCUCGGCUUAACUGGGCGAGGGCCGGGGAGACUGCCACGCUGGAGGGGAGCAGAGGCGAGUGGAAUUCCGGGUGUAGUGGUGAAAUGCGUAGAGAUCCGGAGGAACACCAGUGGCGAAGGCGGCUCGCUGGGCUCUACCUGACGCUGAGGCGCGAAAGCGUGGGGAGCGAACCGG